CCGAUCAGGUGAGUACAAAAUAGUCCAAUUUUGUCCCAUCCCAUGUGUAUGUUAGGAUGUUAGCAGUCUGGUUUUCAUGCCUUAUCUGAACAAUUGAAAUAUAUAAUGCAAAGUGGCACCAAAUGUGUAGUUAGUGUCAAAAGACCUUCAUAAUUUGGACUGCUAAUUCUUGUGGAUUAUCUGUUUGAUUGAAACCGCUGUGCAUUGCCAACAUAUUUCGUCCACUAAUUUUGCUCUUGGAUUCUGGCUGUAUUUCUUUCUUUCCAAAUUUGAUUGUGUCAUUCUUGUAAUUUCUUUACCAUGCUAUGCAGAAUGAAUCAUCUUUUGAUGGUGCUCAAGUCAUGGGCAUAGAUGCAUCUAACCAAAUAAUACUUGCUUCUGGAAGGCACCUGGUGUAGGUGGAGAACAUGUUCUUAGAGAGGUACAUUUAAAUCUCGUUCUUUGCCAAAUUAAUGGCUACCACCACUAAAUUUUUGCAACACCUUAUUGUAACAUGAUGGGCAGCAGUUCUAUGUCCCCUCUCCGAGCUGCUCUUUCAUGGUACUAGUUCCUCGGAGCAAUCCUUAUAUAUCUUGUAUAUCUUAAUUACUUCCUAUUUACAGCUAGGUAUUUGGCUUGCUAGGUAAAGCAAAGGAACCAUAUUGAUACUCACGAUGAACUUAAUUAGCAAAGUUAAAAUUCUGUUCAAAAUUCAGAACUGAUAUGAUUUAUUGUAUUUGUACAUGCUUUGCAUAUUGAUGAUUUGGUAAGCAUCGCUACACUGGGCAUGACCAAUUGCUUAAAAGAAGGUCUCUAUCAUAUUGAUGAUCUGUCAAAAUGUACGUGUAGAUAUUCUGCACAUUCUGGUUCAUGCCACUACUUAAUUAAGGUCUUCUUUUAUGAGGUUCUGCCUUGUGCAAAUAAUAUGAUUAUUUAGCAGCUUGGUUUCAUGGCUUUGGAUCUCAUGUGAAUAAACUAUAUAUUAAGUGUUUGCUGUUCUUUGCUUAAUAAUAAUAAUAGUAACUUUGGAAAUUACAAGCUUCAGUACAAAGAUGCCAAAGUUUUGAUAUAAAUUGUACUAACUCAUAAUGGUGGCUUCUAAUUAUAGUGAACUAGAUAGGCGCUCACAUGCUAGUGGGCUUCGGUGGCAUUUUGAGCUCUUGGCUGUUGUCUUUAACUGCCAAUGCGUAGCGGCCAACAAAAUUAGCUCUAGUGCUUUGUGUGAACUUAUGGUGGUUAUUUACUUUAUUUCAUUGUACACUGCAUUGUGCUAUAUAUGUUCCAUAAGUAUAAACAUGCUAUGCUUGGCAUGCGGUUUUGGGGAAAAAGGAAGCAUCGCAUGUGUACAAAUCGUUUGACCUGCAUUUUACUACUUGCUAUUUACUAUACAUCGAAAUUGUACUUGUAAGUGUAAAAAUUUGUCUGCGGUUAAAAAAGUUUUGUAUCAAGCUUGUAAGUUUUGUCACAAGGAUGAGAUUGUUUAAUACUACAAAACUUCAUACCUUUGCUUUCAUAAUUUCUGUAUACGAAACCAUUCUAAACUAAACCAACUAGAUCCGAUCCUUAUCUGUUCAUAAUUUUUUUCUCUGUGGUUCAAAAAGUUAAUUGACGUCUACAAAGUUGUACUAAAGUUGCAUCAAUUAAUUUGGGUAUUAGGGAGUAUCAAUCUUGUAAGUUUUGUCACAAGGAUGAGAUUGUUGAAUGCUACUCCCUCCAUUCUGAAUUACUUGUCGCAGGUAUGGAUGUAUCUAGAUGUAUUUUAGUUUUAGAUACAUCCAUUUUUGUGACAAGUAAUUUGGAACGGAGGGAGUACAAAACUUCAUACCUUUGCUUCAUGUUCUUGAUGUUUGAACUGGGGAUCCCAUGAAAUUCUUUUUUGUAACAUGGUUCUCAUCUCUGAACAUCCUCAGCUUUCCAUUUUUAGAAUUUUUUAAAACAAAAUACGGCAAUUGACAUCUGUUUCGUUAGCUUUUUAUACUAAUGUUUUACUUCUCCGAACUAAAUUUUUGCAAAUUACAUCGAUCUAGUUGCAGGUCUUUGUAUAUUUCCACAAUUAUGGAGGGUGUGGUUUAGCUGUGUUUUUCAGAGCAUUGCAAGUUUGGUGACUCUUCUGGGGGAGUCAUGUGGCUCUUUUUGAAUGAUGGCGUUUCAUAGGAUGGUGGCAAGUCUGGUAUUUAGAAGACAUUUUAUGAAGCCUGAGGAAGUCCUGGAUUAGGGGGUGUUCGGAUAGCCGGAACUAUACCUUCGGCCGGACUCCUGGGCUAUGAAGAUAUAAGAUUGAAAAUUUCGUCCCGUGUCUGGAAGGGACUUUUCUUGGCGUGGAAGGCAAGCUUGGCGAUACGGAUAUGUAGAUCUCCUACCAUUGUAACCGACUCUGUGUAACCCUAGCCCUCUUCGGUGUUUAUAUAAACUGGAGGGUUUUAGUCCGUAGGAACAACCAUCAUACCAUAGGCUAGCUUUUAGGGUUUAGCUUCCUUAAUCUCGUGGUAGAUCUACUCUUGUACUACCCAUAUCAUCAAUAUUAAUCAAGCAGGAGUAGGGUUUUACCUCUAUCGAGAGGGCCCGAACCUGGGUAAAAACAUCGUGUCCUUUGUCUUCUGUUACCAUCCGUCUAG
Molecule: long non-coding RNA, 2594 nt
Filed under: Triticum aestivum (bread wheat)
Lineage: Eukaryota; Viridiplantae; Streptophyta; Magnoliopsida; Poales; Poaceae
Description: long non-coding RNA (TAES_LNC020807)
Rfam family: MIR1120/MIR1122 microRNA precursor family (bases 1681-1795)
Source: RNAcentral